UCUUUGCGCAUUCUGUCCAUGCCUAAAGGAUGAGUGUAACCACAUAAGCAACAAAUAUACAGCAAGAUAACUACUGCAACAAUAAAAUUCCAAGUUGCACACUUUGGCAAAAAGACUUUUGGCCAAAAGGAAUUUUACUAUAAAAGCACUCUAAUUGCAGAUAAUUAAGGAACAAUGAAAGCAAGGAAUUUAAGAAAUGUAAAGGAGACAAUGUCAUAUACCAUAACACUAUAGAAAAGCAAAGAACACGAGAAUAGUAAAGAAGACAUCAUAUACCAUAACACUAUAGAAAAGCAAAGAACACGAGAAUAGUAAAGAAGACA
RNAcentral lists this unclassified non-coding RNA (323 nucleotides) under Hevea brasiliensis (rubber tree). The record is from RNAcentral. Lineage: Eukaryota; Viridiplantae; Streptophyta; Magnoliopsida; Malpighiales; Euphorbiaceae.